UGGGGAAUAUUGCGCAAUGGGCGAAAGCCUGACGCAGCCAUACCGCGUGUGUGAAGAAGGCCUUCGGGUUGUAAAGCACUUUCAGUGGGGAGGAAAAGCUGGUGGCUAAUAUCCACUGGCUGUGACGCUACCCACAGAAGAAGCACCGGCUAAUUCCGUGCCAGCAGCCGCGGUAAUACGGAAGGUGCGAGCGUUAAUCGGAAUUACUGGGCGUAAAGCGCACGUAGGCGGCUUGGUAAGUCGGAUGUGAAAGCCCCGGGCUCAACCUGGGAACUGCAUUCGAUACUGCUGAGCUAGAGUACGAAAGAGGGGGGUGGAAUUCCAGGUGUAGCGGUGAAAUGCGUAGAGAUCUGGAGGAACACCAGUGGCGAAGGCGGCCCCCUGGUUCGAUACUGACGCUGAGGUGCGAAAGCGUGGGGAGCAAACAGG
This 429-nucleotide ribosomal RNA is filed under the name uncultured Alteromonadales bacterium. RNAcentral's name for it is "bacterial SSU rRNA". It matches the Rfam family "Bacterial small subunit ribosomal RNA", at positions 355 to 776 of the family's 1533-position model. The record is from RNAcentral. Lineage: Bacteria; Pseudomonadati; Pseudomonadota; Gammaproteobacteria; Alteromonadales.